This 482-nucleotide ribosomal RNA is filed under the name uncultured bacterium. RNAcentral describes it as "partial 16S ribosomal RNA". It matches the Rfam family "Bacterial small subunit ribosomal RNA", at positions 30 to 507 of the family's 1533-position model. The record is from RNAcentral.
AUUGAACGCUGGCGGCAUGCCUUACACAUGCAAGUCGAACGGUAACAGGUCUUCGGAUGCUGACGAGUGGCGAACGGGUGCGUAAUACAUCGGAACGUGCCCAGACGUGGGGGAUAACGAGGCGAAAGCUUUGCUCAUACCGCAUACGAUCUAAGGAUGAAAGCAGGGGACCGCAAGGCCUUGUGCGUUUGGAGCGGCCGAUGGCAGAUUAGGUAGUUGGUGGGAUAAAAGCUUACCAAGCCGACGAUCUGUAGCUGGUCUGAGAGGACGACCAGCCACACUGGGACUGAGACACGGCCCAGACUCCUACGGGAGGCAGCAGUGGGGAAUUUUGGACAAUGGGCGAAAGCCUGAUCCAGCAAUGCCGCGUGCAGGAUGAAGGCCUUCGGGUUGUAAACUGCUUUUGUACGGAACGAAAAGGCUCUGGCUAAUACCUGGGGCACAUGACGGUACCGUAAGAAUAAGCACCGGCUAACUACGUG